Molecule: long non-coding RNA, 220 nt
Filed under: Populus tremula
Lineage: Eukaryota; Viridiplantae; Streptophyta; Magnoliopsida; Malpighiales; Salicaceae
Description: long non-coding RNA (PTRE_LNC001218)
Source: RNAcentral
GGUCGCUGCUGGCGGUGGAGAUGGCCUUCAACCCUAUUGGUGGCGGCUAGGUUUCAUCUUCUUCUCCUCCGCUUCGAAUGCCAGAUCGGGCAACGCUGCUGGAGGUGGGUUUGUGGGCGUCGUAUGUCUCAGCUUCUUCCUUGCUGGUUGCGGAGCGGCGGUGCUGUUGUCCGUGGCUGUGAGAAGAGAGGGACGGUGGGCGAAGGAGAAGGGGAGCUGU